UAAUGGCACAGGCAGGGAGCCCAGCCAACAGCGAGUUGCAGUAAUCCAGACGGGAGAUGACAAGUGCCUGGAUUAGGACCUGCGCCGCUUCCUGUGUGAGGCAGGGUCGUACUCUGCGGAUGUUGUAGAGCAUGAACCUACAGGAACGGGCCACCGCCUUGAUGUUGAGAACGACAGGGUGUUGUCCAGGAUCACGCCAAGGUUCUUAGCGCUCUGGGAGGAGGACACAAUGGAGUUGUCAACCGUGAUGGCGAGAUCAUGGAACGGCCAGUCCUUCCCCGGGAGGAAGAGCAGCUCCGUCUUGCCGAGGUUCAGCUUGAGGUGGUGAUCCGUCAUCCACACUGAUAUGUCUGCCAGACAUGCAGAGAUGCGAUUCGCCACCUGGUCAUCAGAAGGGGGAAAGGAGAAGAUUAAUUGUGUGUCGUCUGCUUAGCAAUGAUAGGAGAGACCAUGUGAGGUUAUGACAGAGCCAAGUGACUUGGUGUAUAGCGAGAAUAGGAGAGGGCCUAGAACAGAGCCCUGGGGGACACCAGUGGUGAGAGCACGUGGUGUGGAGACGGAUUCUCGCCACGCCACCUGGUAGGAGCGACCUGUCAGGUAGGACGCAAUCCAAGCGUGGGCCGCGCCGGAGAUGCCCAACUCGGAGAGGGUGGAGAGGAGGAUCUGAUGGUUCACAGUAUUUUCCAACGGGGCUAUACAUUUGGGUGAGGUUUUUCUCUCACCUGAGUAGCCUCGUUUCACUGCCAAAAAUAAAAUGAAACAGUCUACUAUUCAGCGAAAUAACAACACAAUGUCAAAUACAGGUGGCCCAGUCAAAUAAUUAACAUCCAAUCACAUUAACCGUUACUCUCUCGUGGGAAUUCCACUAACUGUCCGUAUGUAGCCAAACGUAGCUGCUGCUCAUUCCAAUUGCUCAAAUAUUGAUAAAUGGUUAAAGAAGUAAGGCCCGCAUACAUAGACACAUACUAGCUCUACUGGUAGUACUGCUACUACCAGCAGUACUACACCUGCACCUGUCGACGACACAAAUUGUUCUAUUUCCACGAGCACAUCCAAUGCUACCAUCAGUAAUUCUAAAUUUGUUGUUAGCCCAGCUAGCAUGGACACUGACGGAUGUGAAUCUGAUGCAGCCGAAGAGCUACUGCCGCUGUACCUGGGAAAGCACCGAACACCAGACAGGGACGUUGGACCAUCGAAGAGGCGCAAAUAUGAUGAGCACUACAUUGAUUUGGGGUUCACUUAUAUUUAGAGCAGUGCCUUUUCUCAACCACAGUGUGUUGUGUGUGUGUGCAAAAGUACUAUCUCACUACUCUAUGAAACCUUCACUGUUGACAUUUAGAAACAAAACAUGCCAAUUUGUAAAAUCAGCCACGGGAGUUUUUUGAGCGAGUAUUAAGACAACUUUUGAGUAGUAAGACAUGUAUAAAAGCAGCAGAUACCAUUAAUAAGAAGGGGCUAGAGGCGUCUUAUUUGGUGAGCUACCGAGUGGCUAGGACAGGCAAGCCCCAUACUAUUGUGGAGGACUUAAUUCUUUCUGCUGCUGUGGAUAUGGCUGGGACAAUGCUGGGGGAAAAGGCCCAAAAAACUAUACAGACAAUGUCUUCAUCAAACACUGUUUCGCGAUGCAUCAGUGACAUGGCAGAAGAUGUUUUGAAACAAUUUCUGCUUUGCAUACAAGCCAGUGAAUUCUAUGCGUUACAGCUGAAUUAGUCAACAGACGUGGCGGGCCUGGCACAGAUCCUGGUAUAUGUCCAUUACGUUUAUGGGGGUCAAUUAAGGAAGACCUCCUCUUCUGCAAACCACUGGAAACCAGGACAACAGGAGAUGAGGAUUUCUUUUAAGUGCUGGACAGCUUUGUGACAUCAAAUGGACUUUGGUGGUCAAGAUGUGUUGGUAUCUGUACUGUAAAGCCAUGACAGGGAGACAUUGGAAUGGUAACGUGUGUGCAAGCAGUUGCUCCCGACUACACUUGGGUACACUGCAGCAUCCACCGAGAGGCUCUUGCUGCCAAAGGAAUGCCUGACAGCUUGAAAUACGUUUUGGACACUACAGUGAAAAUGGUUAACUUUGUUAAAGCAACGCUCCUGAACUCGUGUUUUCUGCACUAUGCAAUGACAUGGGCAGCGACCAUGUAACGCUUUUACAACAUACAGAAGAAGUGCGCUGGUUAUCAAGGGGCAAAGUAUUGACACUUUUUUUUAAAUUGAGAGACGAGCUUAAAGUUUUCUUUAUUGACUAUAAUUUUCACUUGUCUGACCGCUUGCGUGAUGAUGACGUUUCUCACAUGACUGGCCUAUCUGGGUGAUGUUUUUUCUCGCCUGAAUGAUCUGAAUCUAGGAUUACAGGGACUAUCCGCAGCUAUAUUCAAUGUGCGGGACACAAUUGAGGCUAUGGUUAACCCUUGUGUUGUCUUAAGGGUAAAAAAUGACCCGCCACUAUGUUCGACAGCAGAGAACCUCCCUUGAUAUUUUUUCAACUUGACUUUUCCUAGAGUGACCCCAACAUUAGUAAAAGUGAAACAUCACCUUUGUUCAUAUUUCCAUGAAAGCUGUUAACCACCAGGGUACAAAGAUUGUCUUAGGGUCAUUUUUGACCCGGCAGUUAUAAAAUCAUUUACACACCACAAAGACAGACACACACACAAUGAGAAAUGUAGAUUAUUUGUGUUACUUAUUGAACUCAGACAAAACUAAAACUUUUUUUGUGCAUGUGCAGCAUCUCCCCUCCAUGACCCCACACAUGACUCACGUUCACAGACAAAAUAAAAACCAUUUCGGACAUAAUAAACAUUUCUUGACAGCAUUGUUUACUAAUGGGGAAUGCAGUCAGUCUGUAAAGGUGCUGCAGAUGAGUUCUCUCUUUACUGAAGCCAUGAGUAUGUUUCAGUGCCCAACAGGUCGUAGAUCAGAUUUUUUUUUCAGAUGUCCAGGAUGAGCAAGAGUACAAUGAUUUAGAAGAGGUGGUAUCUGAGGAAGAUGGGGAAGAAUGCAACCCAAAGCACGAUGCACCAUCUUCAGAUGAAGAAGGAGAAAUCCGCCAAACUGAAAGAGACAUUUUUGUCAAAGAACAGCAAAAUAACAUGGUCCUUGUCACCAUUUGACAACCAGGGCAGGAUGGCAACACAAAAUGUCAAGGAUGACCCCAAGGCCCACUAGACAUGCAGUUACCCAUGCCCAGGACAUCGCCUCAACAUUCUACAUGUUCAUCACACCAGCCAUUGAAAAAACAUAAUCCUGGAGAUGCAAAAUUUGAAGGGUUUCUGUAAAAUGGAGACAACUGGAAAAGGAUGGAUGAGAUUGACCUGCGUGCUUACAUAGGGCAGCUAAUCUUAGCGGGUGUGUAUAGGUCCCGAGGCAAGGCUACGUGUAGUCUCUGGGAUGCAGGGAGUGGAAGAGUGAUUUUCCGUGUCACGAUGCCACUGAAAGUCUUUCACACUUUCUCAAGAAUGCUAUGAUUUUGAUAACUGUGAGUCAAGACGUGUGAGAAACAAAUUGGCAGCCAUAAGAGAAGUCUGGGAGAAGUGGUUUGAGCAUCUGCCAUACCUCUACAACCCUGGGCCUGAAGUAAUAGUGGAUGAACAACUGGUUCCAUUCAGAGGUCGCUGUCCUUUCCGGCAGUAUAUGCCCAGCAAGCCAGCAAAGUAUGGCAUCAAGAUAUGGGUGGCCUGUGACGCACAAUCCAGCUAUGCUUGGAAGAUGCAAGUCUACGCAGGGAAACUGACCAGUGGAGGCCCGGAGAAGAACCAGGGGAUGCGGGUUGUGCUUGAUGUGACAGACGGACUGAGGGGGUACAAUGUCACGUGUGACAAUUUCUUCACCUCUUAUGAACUCAGCCAGCAGCUCUUGAAGAGGAAGAUCACCAUGAUUGGCACAGUUAAAAAGAACAAGCCUGAGCUCCCCCCUGCACUCCUCGCAACAAUGGGCAGAGAGGCCUUCUCAUCAAAGUUUGCCUUCACCACCACUAGUUUCUUAUCUCCCAAAGAGGAACAAGAUUGUGGUCCUCCUGAGCACACUGCACAAAACGGCUGAGAUCAGUGAUCGUGAGGAAAGGAAGCCAGCCAUCAUCCUGGACUAGAACCACAAAGGAAGUGUGGACAACCUGGACAAUGUGAUUGAAACUUACAGCUGCAGGAGGCCCCUGGUCAUCUUCCAUAACAUUGAUGUGUCCUCAAACAAUGCCUUUGAUAUGGAACAUGAUCAACCCUAUUAUCUUAUUUUAUUCUUAUUUAUUGUUUAUGCACCUUGUGGGUGGGUGCAAUGGUUUAAAAAAAUGGGAGAAGACUAGUAUUUUGUAGUUGAAUUCCUCAUUGUACAGUACAUAAGAAUGUAUCACUGUUGCCAAAAACGUUCAAGACUGUUAUUGUUUCCCCUUCAAUAAAAUGCAUUCAGAAUUACUUUCUGCACAUCUAUUUUCUUAGGCUAUACAAGUGCUAUCUCUUGCAAAACAAAUGUUUACACAUAUGCAGUACCUUUAGCAAUAAUAAUAAUACAUCUCUACUUUAGAAUAUUAAACGAUUAUGCCAGGUGUGUUGUAAUAAAACGAGUGGUGUCCACUGAUUAAAUGCAAUCUUUGCAUUGUGAAGAGGGAAACCCCAGAUAUUCCCAAAUUUUGUGAUGAAUGACCACUUGUUUCUUCGUGUAAAAUAGAUUUGGGGUUUAAAAUUCAAUUAAGCCGCUUUAUUUUAGGGGUUUAGUGAAGGUGGGUAAAAAAAUGACCCUUAGGACAAGGGGAGUAUACAGAAUGGUAAGACUACACAAGGGUUAAGAAGUUGGCGCAAUUCUCUGUCUGUGUGAACAAGGACAACACACAGGUCUUUCCAUCAUUGUAUGAUUUUUUGUGUACAAAUGAACUCAAGCUCACGAACAAUGUCAAAUGUGAUAUAGCGAAGCACCUGAGUGAGUUGGGUGCGCCAUUACGCAGGUGCUUUCCCGAAAUGGAUGACACAAACAACGGGAUUCAUUAUCCCUUUCAUGCCCUGCCUCCAGUCCACUUACCAAUAUCUGAACAAGAGAGCCUCAUCGAAAUUGCAACAAACAAUUCUGUGAAAAUUGUAUUUAAUCAGAAGCCACUGCCAGAUUUCUGGAUUGGGCUGUGCUCAGAGUAUCCUGCCUUAGCAAAUCGCGCUAUUAAGACACUGAUGCCCUUUGCAACCACAUACCUAUGUGAGAGUGGAUUCUCGGCCCUCACUAGCAUGACAACUAAAUACAGGCACAGACUGUGUGGAAAAUGAUUUUAGACUGAGACUCUCCAAUACAACCCAACAUUGCAGAGUUAUGUGCAUCCUUUCAAGCACACCCUUCUCAUUAACCUGUGGGGGCUAUUCUCAAUUUUCGAUGAACAAUUCAAGUUUUAAAUGUCAGAUGUCUAAAUAAAGAGCAAAAUUAUUGAUUAUUAUAUGUGCCCUGGUUCUUAAGAGCUCCUUGUCACUUCCCACGAGCCGGGUUGUGACAAAAACUCACUCGUUCUUAUGUUAAAUAAAUGUAUCUUAUAGUGUGUGUGUGGCAAAAAAAAAUAUUAAAAAAUGAGAGUGCGCUGACCCUGGUGCCAGAAGGUGUACACAGCUUGAGGUUGAAUAUUUGAAGGGGUACGGGACUUUAAAACAUUUGGGAACCACUGCUAAUCACACCAAAUCAUGUAUGACUAAAACAUAUCGUUCCUGUAUCAUAUCAGAGUUCAUGUAUCAAGAUGCGUAUCUAGAUACAUGGGCUCUCGAAUUUACUAGGGAGCUGCACAUCCCAAGUAAAUAUCUCAUGGCCCUUUCUAAUGUUGCUCUGUUUUGUCUUCUAGAUAUAUCUGUUGUCUUGUCUAUGUAUUGUUGUAACGAUAUUACUACUCGCAUGUAAAUAAAUAAAACAUUUUCGGUUAA
Molecule: long non-coding RNA, 5866 nt
Organism: Oncorhynchus nerka (sockeye salmon)
Lineage: Eukaryota; Metazoa; Chordata; Actinopteri; Salmoniformes; Salmonidae
Exons: 2
Source: RefSeq, a predicted model, not a curated record